Molecule: ribosomal RNA, 274 nt
Filed under: uncultured bacterium
Lineage: Bacteria
Description: partial 16S ribosomal RNA
Rfam family: Bacterial small subunit ribosomal RNA
Source: RNAcentral
AUACGGAGGGCGCGAACGUUGCUCGGAAUCAUUGGGCGUAAAGCGCACGUAGGCGGCCUGAUAAGUCGGAUGUGAAAGCCCACGGCUCAACCGUGGAAGUGCAUUCGAAACUGUCAGGCUUGAGUAUGGGAGAGGGUUGCGGAAUUCCCGGUGUAGAGGUGAAAUUCGUAGAUAUCGGGAGGAACACCAGCGGCGAAGGCGGCAGCCUGGACCAAUACUGACGCUGAGGUGCGAAAGCGUGGGGAGCAAACAGGAUUAGAAACCCUAGUAGUCC